UACGGGGGGAGCAAGCGUUGUUCGGAUUUACUGGGCGUAAAGGGCGCGUAGGCGGCCAGCGCAAGUCAGUUGUGAAAUCUCCGGGCUUAACUCGGAAAGGUCAACUGAUACUGCGCGGCUAGAGUGCAGAAGGGGCAACUGGAAUUCUCGGUGUAGCGGUGAAAUGCGUAGAGAUCGGGAGGAACACCAGAGGCGAAGGCGGCGACCUGGACAGGUACUGACACUCAACUACGAAAGCGUGGGGAGCAAACAGG
Molecule: ribosomal RNA, 254 nt
Filed under: uncultured prokaryote
Description: partial 16S ribosomal RNA
Rfam family: Bacterial small subunit ribosomal RNA
Source: RNAcentral